RNAcentral lists this ribosomal RNA (253 nucleotides) under uncultured bacterium. Its description in RNAcentral is "partial 16S ribosomal RNA". It matches the Rfam family "Bacterial small subunit ribosomal RNA", at positions 524 to 776 of the family's 1533-position model. The record is from RNAcentral.
UACGUAGGGUGCGAGCGUUGUCCGGAAUUACUGGGCGUAAAGAGCUCGUAGGUGGUUUGUCGCGUUGUUCGUGAAAACUCACAGCUUAACUGUGGGCGUGCGGGCGAUACGGGCAGACUGGAGUACUGCAGGGGAGACUGGAAUUCCUGGUGUAGCGGUGGAAUGCGCGGAUAUCAGGAGGAACACCGGUGGCGAAGGCGGGUCUCUGGGCAGUAACUGACGCUGAGGAGCGAAAGCGUGGGGAGCGAACAGG